CCUAUCCAGGACGACGAACUGAUCUCGUACAUUCUCCAUGGCCUCGACAUCGACUACCAGCCGCUCGUCUCCGCCCUCGACGCCCGCGUCACGCCCGUCACCAUCGACGAGCUCUACGCCAUGCUGAGUAAUUUUGAUC
Molecule: non-coding RNA, 139 nt
Organism: Triticum aestivum (bread wheat)
Lineage: Eukaryota; Viridiplantae; Streptophyta; Magnoliopsida; Poales; Poaceae
Source: Rfam